CGGGGCGUAGCGCAGCCCGGUAGCGCACUCGCUUGGGGUGCGAGGGGUCGUGGGUUCAAAUCCCGCCGCCCCGACCA
This 77-nucleotide transfer RNA is filed under the name Nitrospira sp. RNAcentral describes it as "tRNA-Pro". It matches the Rfam family "tRNA". From Rfam's summary of the family: Transfer RNA (tRNA) molecules are approximately 80 nucleotides in length. Their secondary structure includes four short double-helical elements and three loops (D, anti-codon, and T loops). Further hydrogen bonds mediate the characteristic L-shaped molecular structure. tRNAs have two regions of fundamental functional importance: the anti-codon, which is responsible for specific mRNA codon recognition, and the 3' end, to which the tRNAs corresponding amino acid is attached (by aminoacyl-tRNA synthetases). tRNAs cope with the degeneracy of the genetic code in two manners: having more than one tRNA (with a specific anti-codon) for a particular amino acid; and 'wobble' base-pairing, i.e. permitting non-standard base-pairing at the 3rd anti-codon position. The record is from RNAcentral. RNAcentral also lists the same sequence under 12 other names. Lineage: Bacteria; Pseudomonadati; Nitrospirota; Nitrospiria; Nitrospirales; Nitrospiraceae.